GUCCCAUGUACAUUUUACUUCAUAACUCUUUAUUAACAUACUGUUUGUAGAUUUUUUUUUACUGAUAUGUAAUAAUACGUAUCAGUAUUACCACCGUAGGUAUAGUGUCCGGUUGAGAUCGGGUUUUUUCGAGAGCGUCCAGUUUUUUUCGAGAGAUUAUGACUAAAAAUGUAAACAAACAGACAUGUUUUCCUGUAACACGUAAAAUAAAUGCUUAAACUAAAUUUACAAGAUCAAACAAGUUAAGUAAGUAUUUGUGAUGAAAGGAUGUUGCCAACCAUACAUACUUUGCAGUUAAAAAAGUUUGAUUUGGCC
Molecule: long non-coding RNA, 315 nt
Filed under: Mytilus galloprovincialis (Mediterranean mussel)
Lineage: Eukaryota; Metazoa; Mollusca; Bivalvia; Mytilida; Mytilidae
Source: RNAcentral